Molecule: ribosomal RNA, 274 nt
Filed under: uncultured bacterium
Lineage: Bacteria
Description: partial 16S ribosomal RNA
Rfam family: Archaeal small subunit ribosomal RNA
Source: RNAcentral
AAACCAGCACCUCAAGUGGUCAGGAUGAUUAUUGGGCCUAAAGCAUCCGUAGCCGGCUCUGUAAGUUUUCGGUUAAAUCUGUACGCUCAACGUACAGGCUGCUGGGAAUACUGCAGGGUUAGGGAGUGGGAGAGAUAGACGGUACUCGGGAGGAAGUGGUAAAAUGCUUUGAUCUCUCGAUGACCACCUGUGGCGAAGGCGGUCUAUCAGAACACGUCCGACGGUGAGGGAUGAAAGCUGGGGGAGCAAACCGGAUUAGAAACCCGGGUAGUCC